Molecule: ribosomal RNA, 492 nt
Filed under: uncultured bacterium
Lineage: Bacteria
Description: partial 16S ribosomal RNA
Rfam family: Bacterial small subunit ribosomal RNA
Source: RNAcentral
AGUGAACGCUGGCGGUAGGCCUAACACAUGCAAGUCGAACGGAAGCACAGUAAGAUUUUGCUCUUACGGGUGGCGAGUGGCGGACGGGUGACGAAUACAUCGGAAUCUACUUUUUCGUGGGGGAUAACGUAGGGAAACUUACGCUAAUACCGCAUAUGACCUACGGGUGAAAGCAGGGGAUCUUCGCACCUUGCGCGAUUGAAUGAGCCGAUGUCGGAUUAGCUAGUUGGCAGGGUAAAGGCCCACCAAGGCGACGAUCCGUAGCUGGUCUGAGAGGAUGAUCAGCCACACUGGAACUGAGACACGGUCCAGACUCCUACGGGAGGCAGCAGUGGGGAAUCUUGGGCAAUGGGCGCAAGCCUGAUCCAGCCAUACCGCGUGGGUGAAGAAGGCCUUCGGGUUGUAAAGCCCUUUUGUUGGGAAAGAAAAGCAGCAGGUUAAUACCCCGCUGUUCUGACGGUACCCAAAGAAUAAGCACCGGCUAACUACGUG